RNAcentral lists this long non-coding RNA (996 nucleotides) under Phascolarctos cinereus (koala). Its description in RNAcentral is "lncRNA (ENSPCIG00000035254.1)". Lineage: Eukaryota; Metazoa; Chordata; Mammalia; Diprotodontia; Phascolarctidae. The record is from RNAcentral.
AUGAUGCCAGCUGUUGUUAGCUGCCCACUCCCCUGCCCCAAGCAUGUGUUUUGGUUGGGUAAUUUCCAGUUGCCUCCACCAGAAUGUCCUAUAACUUGCAGCAGUGCUAAUCAUCCGUGCAUCCAUCCAUGCAUCCAUCCGUGCAUCCAUCCAUGCAUCCAUCCAUGCAUCCAUCCAAACAAGAUCAAUGGGCACUUAUGGGCCCCACACUGCCAAUGGGUGUGUUCCAUCCACUGGCCCUGUGAACUGCAAGGAAGUCUCUUCCUUUGCUGUAUGUCGCAGGGCCAGGGAGAUCCUCUGAAGGACCCCAUGUGCUUGCGUUGCUUUCAGACUUUGCACUGCCCUGGCAGGUUGGCUCAAAGGGCACAAAGACAUCUAAACCUAGGUCUGCAGGUGUGCUUGGUUCUCCCUCUUUCCCAGACUCUUGAUGACAGGAUGAGGACACUAAGGCCCAGGGAGGAUGAAGGGACUUGCCCAAGGUCACACAGAAAUGAUGAGCAAGCCGACUUCAGAAAAACCGGAAAGAUUUGCGUGGACUGAUGCUGAGUGAAGUGAGCAGAACCAGGAGAACGUUGUACACAGUAACAGCCACGUUGUGCGAUGACUAACAUUGAUAGACUUAACCCUUCCCAGCAAUGCAAGGAUCGAAGACAUCUCCAAAGGCCUCACAAUGGAAAAUGCUGUCCACAUCCAAAGAAAGAACUGUGGGGUUUGAAUGCAGAUAGCAGCACGCUAUUUGCUAUUUUUUUUUUCUGUCGAGUUAUGUUUCCUCUUUCUGGUGGUUCCUCCUAUUGAUUCUAAUUCUUCCUUACAACAUCACUAGUGUGAAAAUAUGUUUAAUAGGAAUGUACGUGUAGAGCCUAUAUCAGAUUGUGUGCUGUCUUGGGGAGGGAAGUAGGAAGGGAGGGGGAGAAAAAUUUUAAACUCAAAAGCUUAUGGAAGCGAUUGUUGAUAAAUCAAAAUAAAUUAAUAAAAAAAAAUCUGGUUCCCCUACCA